GGUUAAGUGACUAAGCGUACACGGUGGAUGCCUUGGCAGUCAGAGGCGAUGAAAGACGUAGUAACUUGCGAUAAGCCCAGAUUAGGUAGUAACAACCAUUUGAGUCUGGGAUUUCUGAAUGGGGAAACCCACGUGCAUAAGUACGUAUCCUUACCUGAAUACAUAGGGUAAGGAGGCGAACCGGGGGAACUGAAACAUCUAAGUACCCCGAGGAAAAGAAAUCAACCGAGAUUCCGAAAGUAGCGGCGAGCGAAAUUGGACUAGCCCUUAAGCUUUACACGCGUUAGACGAACGGUCUGGAAAGUCCGACGAUACAGGGUGAUAGUCCCGUAGUUGACGACGUGUGUUCAGUGAAAUCGAGUAGGGCGGGACACGUGAUAUCCUGUCUGAAUAUGGGGGGACCAUCCUCCAAGGCUAAAUACUACUGACUGACCGAUAGUGAACCAGUACCGUGAGGGAAAGGCGAAAAGAACCCCUGUGAGGGGAGUGAAAUAGAACCUGAAACCGUGUACGUACAAGCAGUAGGAGCAGGCUUUGUCCUGUGACUGCGUACCUUUUGUAUAAUGGGUCAGCGACUUAUAUUCAGUGGCAAGGUUAACCAUCUAGGGGAGCCGUAGGGAAACCGAGUCUUAACUGGGCGUUCAGUCUCUGGAUAUAGACCCGAAACCAGGUGAUCUAGCCAUGGGCAGGUUGAAGGUUGAGUAACAUCAACUGGAGGACCGAACCGACUAAUGUUGAAAAAUUAGCGGAUGACUUGUGGCUAGGGGUGAAAGGCCAAUCAAACCUGGAGAUAGCUGGUUCUCCCCGAAAGCUAUUUAGGUAGCGCCUCGGACGAAUACUACUGGGGGUAGAGCACUGUUAAGGCUAGGGGGUCAUCCCGACUUACCAACCCUUUGCAAACUCCGAAUACCAGUAAGUACUAUCCGGGAGACACACGGCGGGUGCUAACGUCCGUCGUGGAGAGGGAAACAACCCAGACCGCCAGCUAAGGUCCCAAAUUACUACUAAGUGGGAAACGAUGUGGGAAGGCUCAGACAGCCAGGAUGUUGGCUUAGAAGCAGCCAUCAUUUAAAGAAAGCGUAAUAGCUCACUGGUCGAGUCGGCCUGCGCGGAAGAUGUAACGGGGCUAAGUAGUAAACCGAAGCUGCGGCAAUAUACUUUUGUAUAUUGGGUAGGGGAGCGUUCUGUAAGCGGUUGAAGGUGUGUGGUAACGCAUGCUGGACGUAUCAGAAGUGCGAAUGCUGACAUGAGUAACGAUAAAGGGGGUGAAAAACCUCCUCGCCGGAAGACCAAGGGUUCCUGUCCAACGUUAAUCGGGGCAGGGUAAGUCGACCCCUAAGGCGAGGCCGAAAGGCGUAGUCGAUGGGAAACGGGUUAAUAUUCCCGUACUUCUUACAAUUGCGAUGGGGGGACGGAGAAGGCUAGGUGGGCCUGGCGACGGUUGUCCAGGUUCAAGUGCGUAGGCUUAAGAGUUAGGUAAAUCCGGCUCUUUUUAAGGCUGAGACACGACGUCGAGCACCUACGGGUGUGAAGUCAUUGAUGCCAUGCUUCCAGGAAAAGCCUCUAAGCUUCAGAUUGUAAGGAAUCGUACCCCAAACCGACACAGGUGGUCGGGUAGAGAAUACCAAGGCGCUUGAGAGAACUCGGGUGAAGGAACUAGGCAAAAUGGUACCGUAACUUCGGGAGAAGGUACGCUCUUGAUGGUGAAGUCCCUUGCGGAUGGAGCUGACGAGAGUCGCAGAUACCAGGUGGCUGCAACUGUUUAUUAAAAACACAGCACUGUGCAAAAUCGUAAGAUGACGUAUACGGUGUGACGCCUGCCCGGUGCCGGAAGGUUAAUUGAUGGGGUUAGACUUCGGUCGAAGCUCUUGAUCGAAGCCCCGGUAAACGGCGGCCGUAACUAUAACGGUCCUAAGGUAGCGAAAUUCCUUGUCGGGUAAGUUCCGACCUGCACGAAUGGCGUAAUGAUGGCCACGCUGUCUCCACCCGAGACUCAGUGAAAUUGAAAUCGCUGUGAAGAUGCAGUGUACCCGCGGCUAGACGGAAAGACCCCGUGAACCUUUACUACAGCUUGGCACUGAACAUUGACCCUACAUGUGUAGGAUAGGUGGGAGGCUUUGAAGCACGUACGCCAGUAUGUGUGGAGCCGUCCUUGAAAUACCACCCUUGUAGUGUUGAUGUUCUAACGUCGACCCCUAAUCGGGGUUGCGGACAGUGCCUGGUGGGUAGUUUGACUGGGGCGGUCUCCUCCCAAAGAGUAACGGAGGAGCACGAAGGUGGGCUAAUCACGGUUGGACAUCGUGAGGUUAGUGCAAUGGCAUAAGCCCGCUUGACUGCGAGAAUGACAAUUCGAGCAGGUGCGAAAGCAGGUCAUAGUGAUCCGGUGGUUCUGAAUGGAAGGGCCAUCGCUCAACGGAUAAAAGGUACUCCGGGGAUAACAGGCUGAUACCGCCCAAGAGUUCAUAUCGACGGCGGUGUUUGGCACCUCGAUGUCGGCUCAUCACAUCCUGGGGCUGAAGUCGGUCCCAAGGGUAUGGCUGUUCGCCAUUUAAAGUGGUACGCGAGCUGGGUUUAGAACGUCGUGAGACAGUUCGGUCCCUAUCUGCCGUGGGCGUUGGAAGAUUGAAGGGGGCUGCUCCUAGUACGAGAGGACCGGAGUGGACGAACCUCUGGUGUUCGGGUUGUGUCGCCAGACGCAUUGCCCGGUAGCUAAGUUCGGAAUCGAUAACCGCUGAAAGCAUCUAAGCGGGAAGCGAGCCCUGAGAUGAGUCUUCCCUGAUACUUUAAGUAUCCUAAAGGGUUGUCGGAGACUACGACGUUGAUAGGUCAGGUGUGUAAGUGCUGUGAGGCAUUGAGCUAACUGAUACUAAUUGCCCGUGAGGCUUAACCAU
RNAcentral lists this ribosomal RNA (2891 nucleotides) under Vibrio parahaemolyticus. RNAcentral describes it as "23S ribosomal RNA". It matches the Rfam family "Bacterial large subunit ribosomal RNA". The record is from RNAcentral. Lineage: Bacteria; Pseudomonadati; Pseudomonadota; Gammaproteobacteria; Vibrionales; Vibrionaceae.